This 253-nucleotide ribosomal RNA is filed under the name uncultured bacterium. RNAcentral describes it as "partial 16S ribosomal RNA". It matches the Rfam family "Bacterial small subunit ribosomal RNA", at positions 524 to 776 of the family's 1533-position model. The record is from RNAcentral.
UACGUAGGAGACGAGCGUUGUCCGGAAUUACUGGGCGUAAAGCGCGUGUAGGCGGAUGGGCAAGUCUGCUGUGAAAGCUCCUGGCUUAACCGGGAGUGGUCGGUGGAAACUGCCAAUCUGGAGGACGGUAGAGGUAGGUAGAAUUCCCGGUGUAGUGGUGAAAUGCGUAGAGAUCGGGAGGAAUACCUGUGGCGAAGGCGGCCUACUGGGCCGGACCUGACGCUGAGACGCGAAGGCGUGGGAGGCGAACGGG